RNAcentral lists this long non-coding RNA (202 nucleotides) under Vulpes vulpes (red fox). RNAcentral's name for it is "lncRNA (ENSVVUG00000023087.1)". Lineage: Eukaryota; Metazoa; Chordata; Mammalia; Carnivora; Canidae. The record is from RNAcentral.
UUUCAAAUGGGGAAUACUUAAAUAUAUGUUGACUUAAUAUAAAAAUUCAUGGAUGAAAAUGAAGAACUAAAAAAAUCAUUGUAUCAAUUCCAAUAUAAUUUUUUGAAGACAACAGCUGGAGAAGGAGGAGGAGAAUAUUCUGAAGAAUCUGAAUAACAACAGGAUAGUUGCUGACUUAAAGUUAAAUGUCACUUGAUUUUUU